This 497-nucleotide ribosomal RNA is filed under the name uncultured bacterium. RNAcentral's name for it is "partial 16S ribosomal RNA". It matches the Rfam family "Bacterial small subunit ribosomal RNA", at positions 28 to 507 of the family's 1533-position model. The record is from RNAcentral.
GAUGAACGCUGGCGGCGUGCCUAAUACAUGCAAGUCGAGCGAACAGACGAGGAGCUUGCUCCUCUGACGUUAGCGGCGGACGGGUGAGUAACACGUGGAUAACCUACCUAUAAGACUGGGAUAACUUCGGGAAACCGGAGCUAAUACCGGAUAAUAUAUUGAACCGCAUGGUUCAAUAGUGAAAGAAGGUUUUGCUGUCACUUAUAGAUGGAUCCGCGCCGCAUUAGCUAGUUGGUAAGGUAACGGCUUACCAAGGCGACGAUGCGUACCCGACCUGAGAGGGAGAACGGCCACACUGGAACAGAGACACGGUCCAGACUCCUACGGGAGGCAGCAGUAGGGAAUCUUCCGCAAUGGGCGAAAGCUUGACGGAGCAACGCCGCGGGAGGGAUGAAGGUCUUCGGAUCGUAAAACUCUGUUAUUAGGGAAGAACAAAUGUGUAAGUAACUAUGCACGUCUUGACGGUACCUAAUCAGAAAGCCACGGCUAACUACGUG